Molecule: long non-coding RNA, 725 nt
Organism: Ruditapes philippinarum (Manila clam)
Lineage: Eukaryota; Metazoa; Mollusca; Bivalvia; Venerida; Veneridae
Exons: 3
Source: RefSeq, a predicted model, not a curated record
UUCUUGUCGGUUCUUGUCGGUAAUUAGGGAGACCGGGUCAACAGAAACCGACAAAAUGUAAAUAAAUACAAGAAAGAUAUUACUAUGUCAGCAACUGCCAUGUAAUGUUGAGGAGUAGCAAAUUCACAAGUUUGAUGUACCUUAAAAAUAUUAAAAUAGAUUUUCCAACAUAAGCGACGUGUUUCAAGACAGCUAGCCCUACUAAAUACCAUGGAAGAGGUAUCUUUAGGAAAACUGCUUGGGCCAAAACCACCAGCAGAGAGAAUUCGACAACGGUGCAACUCCAGAGAUGUGUUCUAUGAAAUUUCAACUACUUGAUUUCACAUGUUGUGUCUGCUAAAUUUGCAUUUUGCGUCCGGCGAAUAGACAUUUUGUGAUACUGGCGAUACUGGUUUCUGCUUCCCAGAACCAAUUUCGCGCAACAGUGUCAAUGCUGUGUUGUUGCUCAUAUACAUUUGUGAAAAUUGACUAUUUUGUGAAUGAAGAAUUGAAAGACUAGAAUUGCUUGAACAGCUUUGAUCAAUGAUUUUCUAGAACAUACUGUUCCAAAAAGCUAUACAGUUUGUUCCAUUUGCUUGUUUUGAUUUUGUGUCAUUUGUUUGCUUUGCUAUGGAUGCCCUAACAGGGUUUUGUAUGCCCAGUAUCCAAACCUUUUGGCUUUUAUAAAUGGAGUCGUUCCCAUAAAAUGCCAAAGAUUAACUAAGACAUUACUCAGUGAGAUAAAU